Molecule: transfer RNA, 83 nt
Organism: Hydnomerulius pinastri MD-312
Lineage: Eukaryota; Fungi; Basidiomycota; Agaricomycetes; Boletales
Rfam family: tRNA
About the family: Transfer RNA (tRNA) molecules are approximately 80 nucleotides in length.
Source: Rfam
GGUUCAAUGGUCUAAUGGUUAUGAUUUCUGUCUCACAUGGUGAAGCAUACAGAAGGUUCCCAGUUCGAUCCUGGGUUGAGCCA